This 468-nucleotide long non-coding RNA is filed under the name Monodelphis domestica (gray short-tailed opossum). RNAcentral's name for it is "lncRNA (ENSMODG00000038320.1)". Lineage: Eukaryota; Metazoa; Chordata; Mammalia; Didelphimorphia; Didelphidae. The record is from RNAcentral.
UCCCAUUCCUCUCCUUCUGGUUACGAAGUUUCUUGCCUUUGCUACCUUCUAUCUCCUCUGUAUUUAUCUUGUAUGUACUGAUUUGUGUUUAUGAUAACUUUUUUUAAGAAUGUAAGCUCUCUAAGGCCAUAGAUUAUAUUUGCUUUUGCUUUCCACACCCAGCAUUUAUUAUAGUGCCUACCAUGUAGUAAGUAUUUGAUUCAUUCUUCUACUUAUUUCAGGUUUCUCAUGAACACUGAUGCUGCAUUCUUCAUGACUAGAUGAAGGUUUUUACAAGUAUUGGAUCAUGGUCUGGGAGUCACUGCAAGGGAAGGAGCAGAUACUCAGCUAAAAACAAUCAAACUACAAGCAACUUUCAAUCACCCAAGCAUAAAGCCAUGGAAUAAAGAACCGGAGGAAUCCCAUGUGAACUAGAACAACCUCCAGGAAGUGAUGCAGAGUGAGAGGAGCAGAACCAGGAGAACAUUG